Molecule: long non-coding RNA, 158 nt
Organism: Myotis brandtii (Brandt's bat)
Lineage: Eukaryota; Metazoa; Chordata; Mammalia; Chiroptera; Vespertilionidae
Exons: 3
Source: RefSeq, a predicted model, not a curated record
GUGGAACUAGGAAUCCUAUGUAAUAAAGAGCUAAUAUGCAAAUGUCAUCAUGCCCUCAUGCCUUAAUGCCAUAACAGCUCAGACAUUCAACACUGCAGAGAGAGGAAUGGGGACCAGCCAGGCACAAAUGAGCUCACGAGAGAGGAAUGGGGACCAGC